GGGAAACUGCCUGAUGGAGGGGGAUAACUACUGGAAACGGUAGCUAAUACCGCAUGACCUCGUAAGAGCAAAGUGGGGGACCUUCGGGCCUCACGCCAUCGGAUGUGCCCAGAUGGGAUUAGCUAGUAGGUGAGGUAAUGGCUCACCUAGGCGACGAUCCCUAGCUGGUCUGAGAGGAUGACCAGCCACACUGGAACUGAGACACGGUCCAGACUCCUACGGGAGGCAGCAGUGGGGAAUAUUGCACAAUGGGCGCAAGCCUGAUGCAGCCAUGCCGCGUGUGUGAAGAAGGCCUUAGGGUUGUAAAGCACUUUCAGCGAGGAGGAAGGGUUCAGUGUUAAUAGCACUGUGCAUUGACGUUACUCGCAGAAGAAGCACCGGCUAACUCCGUGCCAGCAGCCGCGGUAAUACGGAGGGUGCAAGCGUUAAUCGGAAUUACUGGGCGUAAAGCGCACGCAGGCGGUUUGUUAAGUCAGAUGUGAAAUCCCCGAGCUUAACUUGGGAACUGCAUUUGAAACUGGCAAGCUAGAGUCUUGUAGAGGGGGGUAGAAUUCCAGGU
RNAcentral lists this ribosomal RNA (559 nucleotides) under uncultured bacterium. RNAcentral describes it as "bacterial SSU rRNA". It matches the Rfam family "Bacterial small subunit ribosomal RNA", at positions 120 to 674 of the family's 1533-position model. The record is from RNAcentral.